RNAcentral lists this ribosomal RNA (429 nucleotides) under Chloroflexota bacterium. RNAcentral describes it as "Chloroflexi bacterium partial 16S ribosomal RNA". It matches the Rfam family "Bacterial small subunit ribosomal RNA", at positions 355 to 776 of the family's 1533-position model. Lineage: Bacteria; Bacillati; Chloroflexota. The record is from RNAcentral.
UGGGGAAUAUUGCACAAUGGGCGCAAGCCUGAUGCAGCCAUGCCGCGUGUAUGAAGAAGGCCUUCGGGUUGUAAAGUACUUUCAGUCGGGAGGAAGGUGGUAAGGUUAAUAACCUUGGCAAUUGACGUUACCGACAGAAGAAGCACCGGCUAACUCCGUGCCAGCAGCCGCGGUAAUACGGAGGGUGCAAGCGUUAAUCGGAAUUACUGGGCGUAAAGCGCACGCAGGCGGUUGAUUGAGUCAGAUGUGAAAUCCCCGGGCUUAACCCGGGAAUUGCAUCUGAUACUGGUCAGCUAGAGUCUUGUAGAGGGGGGUAGAAUUCCAUGUGUAGCGGUGAAAUGCGUAGAGAUGUGGAGGAAUACCGGUGGCGAAGGCGGCCCCCUGGACAAAGACUGACGCUCAGGUGCGAAAGCGUGGGUAGCAAACAGG